RNAcentral lists this ribosomal RNA (381 nucleotides) under uncultured eukaryote. Its description in RNAcentral is "SSU rRNA". It matches the Rfam family "Eukaryotic small subunit ribosomal RNA", at positions 587 to 974 of the family's 1831-position model. The record is from RNAcentral.
AGCUCCAAUAGCGUAUAUUAAAGUUGUUGCUGUUAAAAAGCUUGUAGUUGAACCUGUGGUUUAUGUUGUGUGCCCAGCACUCAUUGUUGGUUGUGUAUGGCAUUGUCGUCCUUGGGUGGAAUCAGUUUGACAUUAGGUUGUUGGGCAGGGGAUACCCACCAUGGACUGUGAAAAUUAGAGUGUUCAAAGGAGGCCUACGCCUUUGAAUAUAUUAACAUGGAAUACUUAGAUAGGAAUUUGAUACUAUUUUUUUGGUUUGCGCACCAAGGUGACAAUUAAUAGGGCCAGUUGGGGGUAUCCGUAUUCCAUUGUCAGAGGUAAAUUUCUUGGAUUUUGGGAGGAUAAACUACUGCAAAAGCAUUUACCAAGUAUAUAUUUUCA